CUCAAGGGAGUAGCUAACGGUAACACCGUUACAAGGUCGUCAAUACGAAAGAAAUUUCCGGCCUUGUAUGAAAUAGCGAGACUUGUUAAUCAACAGGUCUCUUUUU
Non-coding RNA from Streptococcus sp. DD11, 106 nucleotides. The record is from Rfam. NCBI's taxonomy places the organism in Bacteria, Bacillati, Bacillota, Bacilli, Lactobacillales, Streptococcaceae.